AAACCAUGCAUCGGGCAUUUCUUAGUACCUCCUUGAAUCGCUCUCAUUCUUCAUAUAAUGUUUCAUCCUCUAAUUGUUUAAACUAUGUAAUGUCGUUCCUCAACUU
Gossypium hirsutum (cotton) is the source of this 106-nucleotide non-coding RNA. The record is from Rfam. NCBI's taxonomy places the organism in Eukaryota, Viridiplantae, Streptophyta, Magnoliopsida, Malvales, Malvaceae.